UAGUGCCCCAAGCUGCGAGGCACUUGUGGUUGGUUUAGUUACUGGAACAGGGUCAACUGUAAAUUCAAAAGUGAAACAAAUGUGAUCACUGCAGGAAUCUGCAGUAUGGAGACUAGUGAGUCAUAGUAGUGAAAACAGGGCAAGAAAUAAGUCAGCAUAAAUUUUAUGUGGAACAAAUGAGAAAAACUUUAAAAACAAGAGGAAUAAAGGUGAAAAUUACGCAUUUGUUGUCAUUUUUUUUAAUUUUAUUACAGUUAUUUCCCUGG
Non-coding RNA from Mus musculus (house mouse), 266 nucleotides. NCBI's taxonomy places the organism in Eukaryota, Metazoa, Chordata, Mammalia, Rodentia, Muridae. The record is from Rfam.